GUGUAAGUACUAGCCAACUAUAAAAUGGUGAAACCGCGAAAAGCUCAUUAAAUCGGCUUUGGUUCCUUAGACAGUAUGCAGAUGGGAGUUUUUUUCUUAGGAAGAAAACAAAAGUCUGAUUUGGAUAACUGUGGUAAUUCUAGAGCUAAUACAUGAAAAGAAAUCAGUGUGAAAUCGUGUACGCAUUAACUUGCGUAUGUGAAUUUUGCACGCUUUUAUUAGAGAAAAAAGCCAAUUUAGUUUUUUGAUCAAAGCCGCGGGAGCCAAUGCGUCGCUGUGCAGUGUUUUACAUUGUGCUCGUGUGCAUUUGCGUUCUCGGGUGAUUGACGAAAAGAAGUUUAACAAAAAAUGGUGUUGAAUCUGAAUAACUUGAACGGGUUCCUUUUGAAAGAAUUUAUCUCGAUGUUACUGCGUUUACUGUUUGUGAAUGGAUUUUAAAGCAGACUGCAUUAGAAGCCGCAUUCAAAUGAUCGUUGUCUGUGGCGCACAUCGCGUGCGUUUGGAUAAACGAGAAUGAGUGUCUGGUGAUUGCAGUGUGUCUUUCAAUUGUCUGCCUUAUCAACUGUCGAUGGUAGGUUACAUGCCUACCAUGGUUGUAACGGGUAACGGGGAAUCAGGGUUCGAUUCCGGAGAGGGAGCCUUAGAAACGGCUACCACAUCUAAGGAAGGCAGCAGGCACGCAAAUUACCCACUCCCGGCACGGGGAGGUAGUGACGAUAAAUAACGAUCCGGAACUCUAAUGAGUUUCCGAAAUCGGAAUGAGUACAAUUUAAAUCCUUUAACGAGGAACUAAUGGAGGGCAAGUCUGGUGCCAGCAGCCGCGGUAAUUCCAGCUCCAUUAGCAUAUAUUAAAGUUGUUGCGNUUAAAAAGCUCGUAGNNNAAUCUAUAUCUUGCGCUGUUAGUCGCUUGCGAUUUUAUUCGCGAGUCUGAUUGACAUUUUGCGUAAGAUAUAUGUGACGGCGGAUGUUCGUCGCUUGGAAUCGGUUUCUCAAUCGCUUUCCGAGCGCACGAUAAUUCGAUACGGUUGACGUUUGUCGAUAAGUUUCAUUGUGAUUGAAUNCANUCAGCGNGCANUCGUGAAGUCGAAGCGUGGAACCGAUGAGUUAGAAGAGGCUCGCGCGCGUGCGCGUGUUGUUUUGUCUGCUUGUCGCUAAAUGGUUUCUAGUUUUGAUGAUUGUGUGCUGCAUUGUUUUCAUUAAUUGCAUUGGAAUUAGGCGAAGGUUUUGUCGUAUUCUGAUUANCGUUCAUGUUGGUGAGAAAAAACUAAUGUGCUCGUUUAGUUGGGUCGUCAAUGUUACUUUGAAUAAAUUAGAGUGCUUAAAGCAGGCGUAUUUAAUCUGCCUUGAAUAUAAACAGCANGGAAUAAUAGAAUAUGAUCUCGAUACCGUUUCUUUUCAAGUGUGUGUUUGUGCGUUUUCUUCCGAGAGAGCACACUGGACGCGCGCUUCUAAUUGGCUUAAAGAAGCAGAUUUCUUGUUACGGACAUCGUUCGAUUGUUGGUUUUGUGAUCGCGGCCGGUGGUUAGCUUGCUGACUACGCGCGCAUCCUACNCAGACAGUCUAGUACGGUUCGUUUCAUGAAUGGAGUUGUUUCGACGGUAU
RNAcentral lists this ribosomal RNA (1602 nucleotides) under Myrmecolax incautus. RNAcentral's name for it is "bacterial SSU rRNA". It matches the Rfam family "Eukaryotic small subunit ribosomal RNA", at positions 57 to 891 of the family's 1831-position model. Lineage: Eukaryota; Metazoa; Arthropoda; Insecta; Strepsiptera; Myrmecolacidae. The record is from RNAcentral.